GACGAACGCUGGCGGCGUGCUUAACACAUGCAAGUCGAACGGAAAGGCCCUGCUUUUGUGGGGUGCUCGAGUGGCGAACGGGUGAGUAACACGUGAGUAACCUGCCCUUGACUUUGGGAUAACUUCAGGAAACUGGGGCUAAUACCGGAUAGGAGCUCCUGCUGCAUGGUGGGGGUUGGAAAGUUUCGGCGGUUGGGGAUGGACUCGCGGCUUAUCAGCUUGUUGGUGGGGUAGUGGCUUACCAAGGCUUUGACGGGUAGCCGGCCUUGGAGGGUGGCCGGCCACAAUGGGACUGGGGUACGGCCCAGAAUCCUACGGGAGGGAACAGUUGGGAAUAUUGCCCAAUGGGCCGAAGCCUGAUGCAGCCACGCCGCGUUCGGGAAGACGGCCUUCGGGGUGGAAACCGCUUUCGCCUGUGACGAAGCGUGAGUGACGGUAAUGGGUAAAGAAGCACCGGCUAACUACGUG
This 468-nucleotide ribosomal RNA is filed under the name uncultured bacterium. RNAcentral describes it as "partial 16S ribosomal RNA". It matches the Rfam family "Bacterial small subunit ribosomal RNA", at positions 28 to 507 of the family's 1533-position model. The record is from RNAcentral.